GGCUUACGGACCGUAAGCAAUAUACCCAUACGGUCCAUAAGUAGUGGAGAUUAAAAUUUUUAUUGAAGCCUUACGGACAGUAAGCCUUCGGGCCAUACGGUCCGCAAGAGGGACACGGAACAUGAUUUUGGUUAGCCUUACGGACCGUAAGCCGUAGGGCCAUAUGGUCCGUAUCCAUAUCGGUUUUGCGAAAAAAAUAGCUUUUAAAACCUUACGACCUUAGGGUUUGCAUAUCUCGCAUACCAGACGGCAAAGGGCAAGUUGAGGAUGAUCUUGGAGCAUCUUGAAGCUGAUCAAAGGUCUUGGAAGCAUUUGGUUCGUGUUUGGAGCGUAUUGGCUAAACUUCUAAACUACUUAGGUUGAGAU
RNAcentral lists this long non-coding RNA (366 nucleotides) under Helianthus annuus (common sunflower). RNAcentral describes it as "hypothetical non coding rna". Lineage: Eukaryota; Viridiplantae; Streptophyta; Magnoliopsida; Asterales; Asteraceae. The record is from RNAcentral.